This 433-nucleotide ribosomal RNA is filed under the name uncultured bacterium. Its description in RNAcentral is "partial 16S ribosomal RNA". It matches the Rfam family "Bacterial small subunit ribosomal RNA", at positions 29 to 507 of the family's 1533-position model. The record is from RNAcentral.
AACGAACGCUGGCGGCAUGCCUAACACAUGCAAGUCGAACGAGACCUUCGGGUCUAGUGGCGCACGGGUGCGUAACGCGUGGGAACCUGCCCUUAGGUUCGGAAUAACUCCCCGAAAGGGGUGCUAAUACCGGAUAAUGUCUUCGGACCAAAGAUUUAUCGCCUUUGGAUGGGCCCGCGUUGGAUUAGCUAGUUGGUAGGGUAAAAGCCUACCAAGGCGACGAUCCAUAGCUGGUUUGAGAGGAUGAUCAGCCACACUGGGACUGAGACACGGCCCAGACUCCUACGGGAGGCAGCAGUGGGGAAUAUUGGAAAAUGGGCGAAAGCCUGAUCCAGCAAUGCCGCGUGAGUGAUGAAGGCCUUAGGGUUGUAAAGCUCUUUUACCCGGGAUGAUAAUGACAGUACCGGGAGAAUAAGCUCCGGCUAACUCCGUG